Molecule: long non-coding RNA, 1149 nt
Organism: Dioscorea cayenensis subsp. rotundata (Guinea yam)
Lineage: Eukaryota; Viridiplantae; Streptophyta; Magnoliopsida; Dioscoreales; Dioscoreaceae
Exons: 3
Source: RefSeq, a predicted model, not a curated record
UCGCCUCCCUGCCGCUCACUCCCCUACUCGCGGUACCCGUGCCGAUCGCCACUUCCCUCCCCGUUGACGGUACCCGUUCUGGCCGCCGCUUCACUCCCCGCUCUCGGCUCGGCUUGAAAUCAGGUACAGAGGCAAUGAUGCCCUAAAAAUUUCUAUCCUGCCUUUUCUCUCUACAACGAUGGCAUAGUGGCUUGGAUGGCCUAGUAGGCAACCGCCACUGUUAUUGUUGUAGAGGGAGGGGGAAGGAUGGGAGAACAUCAUUCAGAAUCUGAGCCUCUGUUUUAAUUAUGUUGGUUGAUAUACUCUUUGUUGCAUCAUGUAUUUCUUUCUGUCGAUGUGGCUGGUUCGUGUGAGUUCUUCGUCUCAUAUAGCAUUACUCUUAGUAAUGAUGGUCUUGGCCAUGAUGAUUUGCCCUAUAAAAGAUUAUAGAAAUUGGGUGGCGUGGCAACUUUAGUUGCAGCCCUUGAUUCGUGUUUAUACAUGCAAAAGAACAUAGGGGCAAGAUCUGAGCCUUUUUAUUCUUCUUAAACUGAUUGUUUCUUUGCUAUUUCUUGAUAUCUAUCAAGUUUGAUGUAAGCUGCAGAUGGACACCAGAAAAGACAGUCGGGAACGGGAGAGGGAGGCAGAUAGUAGCAUGGACUGGAAUGACAUCGGGGACUUACAACUGUGCACAUUCCCUAUUUGAUGUUUUUUUUUCUUAUCAAAUUAUGGUUUUCACUUGCAAUUCAAAGGAAUAGAGGUGUCCUUGAAUUUGAUUUUGUUCUCCCUUUGAUUUAUGUUUAUUGCCAUGUUACUUGAGUUGCGGAUUUGGAAUCAUCUGAGUGCCUUUCGGUAGUUAACUCAUGGAGUUUUGGAUUGCAAGAUCGUGUAUAAGCAUUGAGUAACUCUCUAUUUCAUCUUUGUAUUCGAUAGUUCUGAGAAUGAACUAGCUAUGGUUGACCUUAUACAAGAAACUGGGAGCUGACAGCAACAUGGACUGGAACUCAGAUACAAGUCCCCGUUUCAUCACUCUUGAAGAGGCACAUGAAGUCACUAAUCUUAUAUAUGAUGAUGUGUAUGCAAAAACAUUAUUUUGCUAGGAAUUAUGAUAAAUGUACUAGAUUUCUCAGGUUUCUCAGGUUUCUCCAGGGGACUGACAAAUUUUCGUAU